UGAUCCUGGCUCAGAACGUACGCUGGCGGCACGCCUAACACAUGCAAGUCGAACGAAGUAGCAAUACUUAGUGGCAGACGGGUGAGUAACAUAUAGGUAUCUGCCCUUUGGCCUGGAAUAACACGAGGAAACUUGUGCUAAUACCGGAUAAGUCUUUACGGAGAAAGCUUUAUGCACCAUUGGAUGAGCCUGCACUUGAUUAGUUUGUUGGUGGGGUAAUGGCCUACCAAGACUGUGAUCAAUAGCUGAUUUGAGAGGAUGAUCAGCCACAUUGGGACUGAGACACGGCCCAAACUCCUACGGGAGGCAGCAGUGGGGAAUCUUGCACAAUGGAGGAAACUCUGAUGCAGCGAUGCCGCGUGAGUGAAGAAGGCCCUUGGGUUGUAAAGCUCUUUCGUCGGGGAAGAAAAUGACUGUACCCGAAUAAGAAGGUCCGGCUAACUUCGUGCCAGCAGCCGCGGUAAUACGAAGGGACCUAGCGUAGUUCGGAAUUACUGGGCUUAAAGAGUUCGUAGGUGGUUGAAAAAGUUAGUGGUGAAAUCCCAGAGCUUAACUCUGGAACUGCCAUUAAAACUUUUCAGCUAGAGUAUGAUAGAGGAAAGCAGAAUUUCUAGUGUAGAGGUGAAAUUCGUAGAUAUUAGAAAGAAUACCAAUUGCGAAGGCAGCUUUCUGGAUCAAUACUGACGCUGAGGAACGAAAGCAUGGGUAGCGAAGAGGAUUAGAUACCCUCGUAGUCCAUGCCGUAAACGAUGUGUGUUAGACGUUGGAAAUUUAUUUUCAGUGUCGCAGCGAAAGCAAUAAACACACCGCCUGGGGAGUACGACCGCAAGGUUAAAACUCAAAUGAAUUGACGGGGACCCGCACAAGUAGUGGAGCAUGUGGUUUAAUUCGAAGAUACGCGCAGAACCUUACCAACACUUGACAUGUUCGUCGCGACUUUAAGAGAUUAAAGUUUUCGGUUCGGCCGGGCGAAACACAGGUGCUGCAUGGCUGUCGUCAGCUCGUGUCGUGAGAUGUUGGGUUAAGUCCCGCAACGAGCGCAACCCUCACUUUUAGUUGCCAUCAUUAAGUUGGGCACUCUGAAAGAACUGCCAGUGAUAAGCUGGAGGAAGGUGGGGAUGACGUCAAGUCCUCAUGGCCCUUACGUGUUGGGCUACACACGUGCUACAAUGGUAUCUACAACAGGAAGCAAAACGGCGACGUUAAGCAAAUCCUUAAAAGAUACCUCAGUUCGGAUUGCACUCUGCAACUCGA
This 1254-nucleotide ribosomal RNA is filed under the name uncultured marine bacterium. Its description in RNAcentral is "bacterial SSU rRNA". It matches the Rfam family "Bacterial small subunit ribosomal RNA", at positions 14 to 1315 of the family's 1533-position model. The record is from RNAcentral.